CCUACGGGGUGCAGCAGUGAGGAAUAUUGGUCAAUGGGCGCAAGCCUGAACCAGCCAAGUCGCGUGAGGGAUGACGGUCCUAGGGAUUGUAAACCUCUUUUGUCGGGGCGAAAGGCCCGCCACGUGUGGCGGAAAGGAGAGUACCCGAAGAAAAAGCAGCGGCGAACACCGUGCCAGCAGCCGCGGUAAUACGGAGGAGUCGAGAGUUAUGCGGAUUUAUUGGGUUUAGAGGGUGCUGAGGCGGUCGGAUAUGUUAGAGGGGAAAUCCCGAGGCUCAACUUCGGAAUUGCCUCUGAUACUGUUUGGCUAGAGCGUAGUUGCGGUAGGCGGAAUGUAUGGUGUAGCGGUGAAAUGCUUAGAGAUCAUACAGAACACCGAUUGCGAAGGCAGCUUACCAAGCUACUUCUGACGUUGAGGCACGAAAGCGUGGGGAGCAAACAGGAUUAGAUACCCUUGUAGUC
This 461-nucleotide ribosomal RNA is filed under the name uncultured bacterium. Its description in RNAcentral is "partial 16S ribosomal RNA". It matches the Rfam family "Bacterial small subunit ribosomal RNA", at positions 338 to 795 of the family's 1533-position model. The record is from RNAcentral.